This 253-nucleotide ribosomal RNA is filed under the name uncultured bacterium. Its description in RNAcentral is "partial 16S ribosomal RNA". It matches the Rfam family "Bacterial small subunit ribosomal RNA", at positions 524 to 776 of the family's 1533-position model. The record is from RNAcentral.
UACAGAGGGUGCAAGCGUUGUUCGGAAUUAUUGGGCGUAAAGGGCGCGUAGGCGGCUGUACAAGUCAAAGGUGAAAUCCCUCGGCUCAACUGAGGAACUGCCUUUGAAACUGUACGGCUUGAGGCCGGGAGGGGGUAGCGGAAUUCCCAAUGUAGCGGUGAAAUGCGUAGAUAUUGGGAGGAACACCAGUGGCGAAGGCGGCUACCUGGACCGGUUCUGACGCUGAGGCGCGAAAGCGUGGGUAGCAAACAGG